CCUACGGGUGGCUGCAGUGGGGAAUAUUGGACAAUGGGCGAAAGCCUGAUCCAGCCAUGCCGCGUGUGUGAAGAAGGCCUUCGGGUUGUAAAGCACUUUCAGUGGGGAAGAAAGCCUUGGGGCUAAUACCCUCGAGGAAGGACAUCACCCACAGAAGAAGCACCGGCUAACUCCGUGCCCGCAGCCGCGGUAAUACGGAGGGUGCGAGCGUUAAUCGGAAUUACUGGGCGUAAAGCGCGCGUAGGCGGUCUGAUAAGCCGGUUGUGAAAGCCCCGGGCUCAACCUGGGAACGGCAUCCGGAACUGUCAGGCUAGAGUGCAGGAGAGGAGGGUAGAAUUCCCGGUGUAGCGGUGAAAUGCGUAGAGAUCGGGAGGAAUACCAGUGGCGAAGGCGGCCUUCUGGACUGACACUGACGCUGAGGUGCGAAAGCGUGGGUAGCAAACAGGAUUAGAUACCCGGGUAGUC
RNAcentral lists this ribosomal RNA (465 nucleotides) under Vreelandella stevensii. RNAcentral's name for it is "partial 16S ribosomal RNA". It matches the Rfam family "Bacterial small subunit ribosomal RNA", at positions 338 to 795 of the family's 1533-position model. The record is from RNAcentral. Lineage: Bacteria; Pseudomonadati; Pseudomonadota; Gammaproteobacteria; Oceanospirillales; Halomonadaceae.